Molecule: ribosomal RNA, 458 nt
Filed under: uncultured bacterium
Lineage: Bacteria
Description: partial 16S ribosomal RNA
Rfam family: Bacterial small subunit ribosomal RNA
Source: RNAcentral
CCUACGGGUGGCAGCAGUGAGGAAUAUUGGUCAAUGGCCGGAAGGCUGAACCAGCCAUGCCGCGUGAAGGUCAGUGCCCUAUUGGCGUUAAACUUCUUUUGUGCGGGAGCAAUACUGGUCACGUGUGGCCAGACGAGAGUACCGUACGAAUAAGCAUCGGCUAACUCCGUGCCAGCAGCCGCGGUAAUACGGGGGAUGCAGGCGUUAUCCGGUUUUAUUGGGUUUUAAGGGUGCGCAGGCGGAUUUUUUAGUCAGCGGUCAAAUCGUGGGGCAAAACCCCAUACAGCCGUUGAAACUGGGGAUCUAGAGAGUACUAGAGGUAGGCGGAAUGCGUGGUGUAGCGGUGAAAUGCAUAGAGAUCACGCAGAACCCCGAUUGCGAAGGCAGCAUACCGGUGCACAACUGACGCUGAGGCACGAAAGCGUGGGUAGCGAACAGGAUUAGAUACCCUAGUAGUC